GCAACCUCCAGCUGGCACGCCAGCAGCCCGUGGUGUUCCGCUCGCUGCUGGGCAUCAGCUGGAUGUGGUUUUUCGGCGCGGUGUUUCUCUCGCAGUUCCCCAGUUUCGCCAAGGAGGUGCUG
Molecule: non-coding RNA, 122 nt
Filed under: Comamonas thiooxydans
Lineage: Bacteria; Pseudomonadati; Pseudomonadota; Betaproteobacteria; Burkholderiales; Comamonadaceae
Description: Burkholderia RNA 11
Rfam family: Burkholderia RNA 11
About the family: Co-purified with Hfq, expression confirmed by Northern blot.
Source: RNAcentral